AAUUGAAGAGUUUGAUCAUGGCUCAGAUUGAACGCUGGCGGCAGGCCUAACACAUGCAAGUCGAACGGUAACAGGAAGAAGCUUGCUUCUUUGCUGACGAGUGGCGGACGGGUGAGUAAUGUCUGGGAAACUGCCUGAUGGAGGGGGAUAACUACUGGAAACGGUAGCUAAUACCGCAUAACGUCGCAAGACCAAAGAGGGGGACCUUCGGGCCUCUUGCCAUCGGAUGUGCCCAGAUGGGAUUAGCUAGUAGGUGGGGUAACGGCUCACCUAGGCGACGAUCCCUAGCUGGUCUGAGAGGAUGACCAGCCACACUGGAACUGAGACACGGUCCAGACUCCUACGGGAGGCAGCAGUGGGGAAUAUUGCACAAUGGGCGCAAGCCUGAUGCAGCCAUGCCGCGUGUAUGAAGAAGGCCUUCGGGUUGUAAAGUACUUUCAGCGGGGAGGAA
Molecule: ribosomal RNA, 451 nt
Filed under: Escherichia coli
Lineage: Bacteria; Pseudomonadati; Pseudomonadota; Gammaproteobacteria; Enterobacterales; Enterobacteriaceae
Description: bacterial SSU rRNA
Rfam family: Bacterial small subunit ribosomal RNA
Source: RNAcentral